GAGACAGCAGCCGCCGCGGGAAUACGUAGGUGGCAAGCGUUGUCCGGAAUUAUUGGGCGUAAAGGGCUCGCAGGCGGUUUCUUAAGUCUGAUGUGAAAGCCCCCGGCUCAACCGGGGAGGGUCAUUGGAAACUGGGAAACUUGAGUGCUGAAGAGGAGAGUGGAAUUCCACGUGUAGCGGUGAAAUGCGUAGAGAUGUGGAGGAACACCAGUGGCGAAGGCGACUCUCUGGUCUGUAACUGACGCUGAGGAGCGAAAGCGUGGGGAGCGAACAGGAUUAGAUACCCCAGUAGUCCCUGUCUCUUAUAC
Molecule: ribosomal RNA, 308 nt
Filed under: uncultured bacterium
Lineage: Bacteria
Description: partial 16S ribosomal RNA
Rfam family: Bacterial small subunit ribosomal RNA
Source: RNAcentral